AAUAUUUCAAAUGUCAGUCACUAGUUUUAAGUGAAAGUUUUCCACAAGCAGUCUGAGAUAACCAAGAAGAAAUGCAUAACAAAAAACAAAACCAAACCAAUAGCCUGAAACUUGCUAACUUCAACUAUGCAAGACAUCAAAAGAUACAAUUCAUCUUUAUACAUCAGAUUCAAAAUUUCAUGGUGAAAUUCAAAACUCUUGACAAAAGUCUACUAAGCUAUGCAGUGGGUGCAUAGGUGCAGCUGUCUAUCCGACAAC
RNAcentral lists this unclassified non-coding RNA (258 nucleotides) under Hevea brasiliensis (rubber tree). The record is from RNAcentral. Lineage: Eukaryota; Viridiplantae; Streptophyta; Magnoliopsida; Malpighiales; Euphorbiaceae.